Molecule: ribosomal RNA, 1101 nt
Filed under: Streptomyces phaeochromogenes
Lineage: Bacteria; Bacillati; Actinomycetota; Actinomycetes; Kitasatosporales; Streptomycetaceae
Description: bacterial SSU rRNA
Rfam family: Bacterial small subunit ribosomal RNA
Source: RNAcentral
ACUGAGACACGGCCCAGACUCCUACGGGAGGCAGCAGUGGGGAAUAUUGCACAAUGGGCGAAAGCCUGAUGCAGCGACGCCGCGUGAGGGAUGACGGCCUUCGGGUUGUAAACCUCUUUCAGCAGGGAAGAAGCGAAAGUGACGGUACCUGCAGAAGAAGCGCCGGCUAACUACGUGCCAGCAGCCGCGGUAAUACGUAGGGCGCAAGCGUUGUCCGGAAUUAUUGGGCGUAAAGAGCUCGUAGGCGGUCUGUCACGUCGGAUGUGAAAGCCCGGGGCUUAACCCCGGGUCUGCAUUCGAUACGGGCAGACUAGAGUGUGGUAGGGGAGAUCGGAAUUCCUGGUGUAGCGGUGAAAUGCGCAGAUAUCAGGAGGAACACCGGUGGCGAAGGCGGAUCUCUGGGCCAUUACUGACGCUGAGGAGCGAAAGCGUGGGGAGCGAACAGGAUUAGAUACCCUGGUAGUCCACGCCGUAAACGGUGGGAACUAGGUGUUGGCGACAUUCCACGUCGUCGGUGCCGCAGCUAACGCAUUAAGUUCCCCGCCUGGGGAGUACGGCCGCAAGGCUAAAACUCAAAGGAAUUGACGGGGGCCCGCACAAGCAGCGGAGCAUGUGGCUUAAUUCGACGCAACGCGAAGAACCUUACCAAGGCUUGACAUCGCCCGGAAAGCAUCAGAGAUGGUGCCCCCCUUGUGGUCGGGUGACAGGUGGUGCAUGGCUGUCGUCAGCUCGUGUCGUGAGAUGUUGGGUUAAGUCCCGCAACGAGCGCAACCCUUGUUCUGUGUUGCCAGCAUGCCCUUCGGGGUGAUGGGGACUCACAGGAGACUGCCGGGGUCAACUCGGAGGAAGGUGGGGACGACGUCAAGUCAUCAUGCCCCUUAUGUCUUGGGCUGCACACGUGCUACAAUGGCAGGUACAAUGAGCUGCGAUGUCGCAAGGCGGAGCGAAUCUCAAAAAGCCUGUCUCAGUUCGGAUUGGGGUCUGCAACUCGACCCCAUGAAGUCGGAGUUGCUAGUAAUCGCAGAUCAGCAUUGCUGCGGUGAAUACGUUCCCGGGCCUUGUACACACCGCCCGUCACGUCACGAAAGUCGGUAACACCCG